Molecule: ribosomal RNA, 495 nt
Filed under: uncultured bacterium
Lineage: Bacteria
Description: partial 16S ribosomal RNA
Rfam family: Bacterial small subunit ribosomal RNA
Source: RNAcentral
UGAACGCUGGCGGCGUGCCUAAUACAUGCAAGUCGAGCGAACGGACGAGAAGCUUGCUUCUCUGAUGUUAGCGGCGGACGGGUGAGUAACACGUGGAUAACCUACCUAUAAGACUGGGAUAACUUCGGGAAACCGGAGCUAAUACCGGAUAAUAUUUUGAACCGCAUGGUUCAAAAGUGAAAGACGGUCUUGCUGUCACUUAUAGAUGGAUCCGCGCUGCAUUAGCUAGUUGGUAAGGUAACGGCUUACCAAGGCAACGAUGCAUAGCCGACCUGAGAGGGUGAUCGGCCACACUGGAACUGAGACACGGUCCAGACUCCUACGGGAGGCAGCAGUAGGGAAUCUUCCGCAAUGGGCGAAAGCCUGACGGAGCAACGCCGCGUGAGUGAUGAAGGUCUUCGGAUCGUAAAACCCUGUUAUUAGGGAAGAACAUAUGUGUAAGUAACUGUGCACAUCUUGACGGUACCUAAUCAGAAAGCCACGGCUAACUACGUG